GGCUCAGGAUGAACGCUGGCGGCGUGCCUAAUACAUGCAAGUCGAGCGAACAGAUGAGAAGCUUGCUUCUCUGAUGUUAGCGGCGGACGGGUGAGUAACACGUGGGUAACCUACCUAUAAGACUGGGAUAACUCCGGGAAACCGGGGCUAAUACCGGAUAAUAUUUUGAACCGCAUGGUUCAAUAGUGAAAGACGGUUUCGGCUGUCACUUAUAGAUGGACCCGCGCCGUAUUAGCUAGUUGGUAAGGUAACGGCUUACCAAGGCGACGAUACGUAGCCGACCUGAGAGGGUGAUCGGCCACACUGGAACUGAGACACGGUCCAGACUCCUACGGGAGGCAGCAGUAGGGAAUCUUCCGCAAUGGGCGAAAGCCUGACGGAGCAACGCCGCGUGAGUGAUGAAGGUCUUCGGAUCGUAAAACUCUGUUGUUAG
RNAcentral lists this ribosomal RNA (433 nucleotides) under Mammaliicoccus sciuri. RNAcentral describes it as "bacterial SSU rRNA". It matches the Rfam family "Bacterial small subunit ribosomal RNA", at positions 21 to 442 of the family's 1533-position model. Lineage: Bacteria; Bacillati; Bacillota; Bacilli; Caryophanales; Staphylococcaceae. The record is from RNAcentral.